Long non-coding RNA from Peromyscus leucopus (white-footed mouse), 3008 nucleotides. RefSeq lists it as uncharacterized. The transcript is spliced from 4 exons. The record is from RefSeq and is a predicted model, not a curated record. NCBI's taxonomy places the organism in Eukaryota, Metazoa, Chordata, Mammalia, Rodentia, Cricetidae.
UUAAGUGUGGAGACAUUAUCCUGCAGGGCUCCAAGGCAAGAGCAGCUGCUGAUAUUCCACCCACUAGGAGCUUAGCCACAGCAGGAUGUCCCUGUCCACCAUCUGUGAGAGAUAUGGGGACCUGACUAAGAGAAGGAGACUGGUGUUUCCAAGAGAACAGUUGGGGCUCCUGGUGGAGAACGAAGAACACUUGCAUCCACGUUCAAGAAAGGCGUGAAUGAAAAUAAGAAUUUAAAAAGGAAGAACAUGACUGCUCCUCGGUAUGGAGGAGAAAGUUCAUUGUCGACAAAAGAGAGAGCAGAGCCAGAGGCAGGGACAUCUGGGACAGUCCAGAGUGGACAUGACCCUGAGCCAGGUAAAGAGAUGGGGAGGGGACAAGGGAGAGCCAGACCAAGAGGCCAGGGCGGUAAAGAGAGAGAGCCAAAAGGGCUGGCAUAGCAAAAUGGCUGGAUUAUAAAGGGAAGGGGGGGGGCAGCCCAGCCCUGGGCUGGAGAAGUUUAGGGUAGGGGUGGGGUAUGGCAGCCAGAAGAGCCCUGUAACAGGUAGAGACUAGGGGAUGCAGGGCGAAGCUGGGGGACAGCAUCCACUUUGAUAUGUCAAAUAGGUACCUCAGCCAUUUGUCCUGGGUGUGAGACCUGACAAGGCUCCCUUUCUCCUGUCAGCCACCAGUAAGCACUCAGUUGUAAGGGGUACACCAAAUACAAUGGGAGACAGUUUUCCCAAAUUAGUUCAUGUGACCCUUAUAAUGCCCCUCACUCCUUAAGUGUUCAGUCAAACUGAUCAGUGGAAAGCUAUGUUCUGCAGAUGCCUCAGUUUACCUCCCUGCCUUCUGAAAACUACUUCUUGUUCCAUGAGGCAUGCCAUUCUAGGCUGGAGAGAUGGACUCUGUAGUAGGACAGACCUCGGCUUGAUGACAAUUGGGCCCAUGCUAGUUGAGCCUGGUUCUCCCUUCUGCAGACUGAAAGUAACAGUGCCUAAUUUCAGCGCUAUUAAAUUGAAGGCCAACAAAAUAAAAAUGCUCGUAAAGUAUUUAGCACAAGGACUCCCUGGGUAACCCUCCUCAUCUUUCUUAUGAAAAAGACCCCGUGUCUUCCUAUGCUACUUCCUGGGUUAAUCUAACACCUGAUGCCAGAGGAUAGCUGAAUUCCCCUAAGGAGCCCAACAACUCCUGUUAGAAUUUUCUGGAUCCUUCCUUCAUACUCCCAGCAUCCCUCAGUCUGCCUGAUCACCUGGUUUCUCCUACAGUAUUGCUUGAAACAAGUUCAAAGUCUCAUCUGAGUCUCCAGGAAAACUCUUUCCAGCUGUGAGCCUGUAAAAUCAAACAGAAGCCACGUGCACCUAUCUCCAAGCUCCAGUGACACAGAGAACAAACAGGAUCCACAAGGCAAACAUCCUCAUCCCAAGGGAAGACAUGAGCAAAUAAGACAGAAUCGAGGCUCUUGGCAAGAUGGAUGCCCACCAGGACAGACAUGAAAUCCUAAAGCUCCGAGUCCAGCAUCCUAUGCACGAUAUGACAUCAGUGGGUCCCCAAGAGCUUCAGUCAACCACAAUCUACAUGGCUUUGUCAAGUCACAGCCCACAUGGCUACUCUUUGGGACUUGCUUUGCGAGAUUCCAGCCUAACUCCCUCCCUGCCCACCUCUCUACAUACUAAUCCAGCCAUGGAACUGAGCCAGGACCAGGAAAAAGGCAGAAGGCAUGCAAUGGGACCUCAGGUCCUCUGGAUGUUCUGCACUCUACGGUCAAGAGUCAAGCAGGGAUAAGGGACACAGGUAUUAUUCCUGCUGGGCCUAGGGAGAUGGCUGAGUAGAUAAGAAUGCUUGCCAUGCAAGAAGAAGACUGGAAUUUGAACUUUCAACACGUACAUAAAAGCCAGGCACUGUCUCCUGGGCCUGUAUCCAACAUUAAGAGGUGGAGAUGGACAGAUCCCAAGAGCUCACCAGCCAGUUUGUCUAGCAAGCCUCAAGCUCAGUGAGAGAUACAGUCUCAAAAAAAUGAAGGCACAGGAUGAUAGAGGAGGAUAGCAGACAUCCUCAUCUGGCCUUCAAGCAUGUAUCAUGUAUGCAUGCAUAUGGUGUGUACACACACACAGACACACAGACACAGACACACACACACACACACACACACACACACACACACACACACACACAGCCUUAAACAUUCUUACACUGGCUCAAACUAAUGCUACUUAGCUGUUGACCCCAAAGAAGCUACCACAUCUGAUACCAGACAGGUGCUUUUAAAUGUGCCCAGUCUAAAAUGUGGUCUCCUGCCUUUCUUCUAUUAAAGAAGUCUUUCACUUGAUCAUAGAGAAGUGGAGCUCACGAGGCCAGAGCAGGCCACACACAUAGCCUCAUUAGGCAGGACAAGGACUUGAUUAAGAGAAGGCAUUUGAUUCAAAAUGAGUCAAUUAGAGGCCUUCCCUGAGAUCCUAGCACAGGCUAGGGUAAAUUUCCUUGAAGUUUCUAAUGUGAAAACAAGGUAAUUUGAGGGUUUCAAAACCCACAUUCUUUGCAAAGAGAGAGAGACUAUUUGUAGCAUGAAGGCAGGCAGAGCCAGGAUGGGAAAAAGCCUAGGCUACCCAAUGAGUUUCCCCACCUCCUGCCAAGGCCUGGCUGUCCUCUGUCAUUUAACCUAAAUUUGAGGUAUAUAUUCCUGUCAUUUUAAAGUCAGAAGUGUUAUGCUGAUAGAGCUGGUAUUCUAAAGAUUUUUGGUGGAAUUUUAUUUGCAAAGUAAAAGCCAUGACCCCAGUCAGACUGGGGUUCAAAUAUUACUCUGAUGCUUCCCAACCACGUAGAUCUUUUAGCUGUUUCUCUCCCUCCCUCAACUUUCACUUUGGGGUCAACAGUGGUAUUUACUCCUGAGUGUGGGUCUCACUUUGCUUUCUAUUGCUGUGAUAAGGAUGAUGACCAAAGUGACUUGGAUAGGAGAGGGCUUAUUUCAUCUUAUAGCUUAUAGUCCAACCUUCAGGGAGGUCAGGGCAGGAACUCAAGGUAGGAACCUGGA